RNAcentral lists this ribosomal RNA (909 nucleotides) under Triticum aestivum (bread wheat). Its description in RNAcentral is "partial small subunit ribosomal RNA". The record is from RNAcentral. Lineage: Eukaryota; Viridiplantae; Streptophyta; Magnoliopsida; Poales; Poaceae.
GAUCCCAAAAUAUUCUCGCGAGAGGCGCUCUGAGGGUCCUGAGGAGGGUUUGGGAUCGCGGCCGCGGAGGUGAAGAGACGAGGGAGCAGAGGAGCGCGCGUCCCGGGCCGCUUUCCCUUCGUUCUACAUGUGGCGGUCCUUCUUCUAGGUCUUCCUGUUCCCGCAGCUCGGGAGGCUCAAGCUCCUGUGGCAACGCGUCCGAAAGAAACUGGACCUCUUACCGUUGGUCCUCGAGUUCUCGCUGGAGUUCCUGGACAUGUAGUUGUGACGUUAGGUCUACCUACAACAACCGUUGUCCUUCCGGCACCACUAGGUACACGGCAUGGCAGACGCGUUCGGGAAGUCCUUCUAGGUACAGUCCGAGCAGUCCCUCGACCUCUUCUUCAAAUCGCCGUUCCUACAACAGAAACAACGUUGUUCUUCCUAACACUCCGGUGGGUUCUUCCCAAGACGACAAGUCGCGGGAGCGUGGUCCUGGGACUGUCGACAAGUACUACCAUAGAACCUCCUACAGCACAUGGGUCGACUCUAACACCCCUUCGCACAGUCUAUGGCAAACCUACCACGGUUCCAGUAGUUCUAGAUGAACCUGGGUUUCCUCGCGUUGUUGUGACUUAUGUUCGACCUCUGGAAGAGACGUCAGAUGGCGUCCGAAACACCCUUUCUGCAACAGAAACUCAUGGGACACUGACUUUGGCGGACUUCUAGGUACGGAAUACAGAGGUAAAAGUAUAGAAAGACUAGGCUUACAAAACCAGCUCCAGAGUCAAUCAACACGAUAGUUACAUAAGGUCUUUGUAUCAAAACAAUUGCUAGACCCCAAUCCUUCAAACUACCUCUAACCGUUACUUGCACUUGUUACAAUUUCAAAACUCGUAAAUUUAAUACUUGGAGACGAGCCAAUAGAAC